This 587-nucleotide ribosomal RNA is filed under the name uncultured bacterium. Its description in RNAcentral is "bacterial SSU rRNA". It matches the Rfam family "Bacterial small subunit ribosomal RNA", at positions 338 to 916 of the family's 1533-position model. The record is from RNAcentral.
CCUACGGGAGGCAGCAGUAGGGAAUCUUCCACAAUGGACGAAAGUCUGAUGGAGCAACGCCGCGUGAGCGAUGAAGGCCUUCGGGUCGUAAAGCUCUGUUGUUAGGGAAGAACAAGUACCGGAGUAACUGCCGGUACCUUGACGGUACCUAACCAGAAAGCCACGGCUAACUACGUGCCAGCAGCCGCGGUAAUACGUAGGUGGCAAGCGUUGUCCGGAAUUAUUGGGCGUAAAGCGCGCGCAGGCGGUCCUUUAAGUCUGAUGUGAAAGCCCACGGCUCAACCGUGGAGGGUCAUUGGAAACUGGGGGACUUGAGUGCAGAAGAGGAAAGCGGAAUUCCACGUGUAGCGGUGAAAUGCGUAGAGAUGUGGAGGAACACCAGUGGCGAAGGCGGCUUUCUGGUCUGUAACUGACGCUGAGGCGCGAAAGCGUGGGGAGCAAACAGGAUUAGAUACCCUGGUAGUCCACGCCGUAAACGAUGAGUGCUAAGUGUUAGGGGGUUUCCGCCCUUUAGUGCUGAAGUUAACGCAUUAAGCACUCCGCCUGGGGAGUACGGUCGCAAGACUGAAACUCAAAGGAAUUGACGG